Molecule: long non-coding RNA, 1245 nt
Organism: Salvia splendens (bonfire salvia)
Lineage: Eukaryota; Viridiplantae; Streptophyta; Magnoliopsida; Lamiales; Lamiaceae
Exons: 2
Source: RefSeq, a predicted model, not a curated record
UAAAAUUUGGAUUCGAUAUCAAUUUUGAUUUUAUUCUGUUAGAUGAUUAUUGCUAUCAAUUUUGUAUUUUUUAGUUUUCCCUUUGAUGAAGAUGCAUUUGGUACUUCCUACUGUAUUUAUCCACCAAAUGCUUGCGUCAUUGAUUCCACAAUUUGGAUGGCUAUUGUUCAACAUGUUUAUUUUUCUGCCUUUUUUUAUGUUGAUUGUUUUGGCAAAGUUUUCCAUUUAAAGAGACGCACCCUAACUGUUAUUCAUGCUCCUUAUCGUGUCCUGUGUGUGCAACUUUGAAGUUUAUUGCUACUCUAGUGUUUUGUCAUCUGUUGCUUUGUUCUUAUUUUCACUUGUUGAUGCUGGAUUUACACAGAGAGAACGUCGACGCCAAGAACGUGAAGCUGGCUCUGCUGGAACUGUUGGAUCAUCUUAGUCAAUAAGUUAGAACAGCUUUAGAGGCGAGGGUUAUCAGCACAUGGGUUUCAGAACAUGAAUUUUCAUGCAGUUAGGCUCACGUUUCACUCAGAGGGUGACAGUCACAUGGUCUUCAUGUAGAUUCACUUGAAGCUGAUAAAUAAUUCUGUUGUGAUGUUUCUGUGACUUGUGUUUAACUAGUGCUGUUGGAUUCUAAUAUGGCUGGCUGGAUACAUUUUGCAUCUCUCUCUCUAAUUAAAGUGCUUUGUGUGAUGACUUAUGAUAUGGAGUGUACCUGUCAUAGUUAGCCUACUAAUGUGGUUGUGAAAGUGUCACACAUGCGUUAGGAAGGAUGAAUUAGGUGGUUCACGUAGUAACAUGUAGAAUUUAGAAAGAAACUAAGUUAGCUCCAAAUCGCAUGACCAAUUUAUUCUACUUGUUGAAGUUCCGAAAAAGAUGUCAAUCAGGAUGCAUCAUUCAAACAAGCUUAUGCUGAUAACUUGGCCUUGUGCGUAUUCUUGUCUUCAUCUGUCAUCGGGUCUCUGUGGAGUCUGUAUCAUCAUAGGUCCCGAUAAAAAUGAGCGGAGUUCUUAGGAUCAGAAAUGGCAUUUCCACUGAGUAGAAAUUGUGGGUUGUGGGUUGCACUAUGUAGAAUGAGGUGAAAGUAUAUAUGCCGGAAUUUUUGUGAAGCAUACUGGUUUGAACUCUCUGCUACAAGAUAUUACAUCUCUAGUAAUAAUUAUGUUUGUUGGUACAUACUUCUGUUAUACUUAAAAAUACUUUUGUUAUUGUUAGUAUAUUUUCUGGAUUUAAUAAUGAAAUGUACUUGCAUUUUUUGUA